UUACACCAAAAUAGGGAUACAUAGCAAAAUAUGGGAAGUUUCACGUGAGGCUCAAGCGUACAUUUGUUGAUAUAUCCAAUAGUAUCAUUGAUAUGAUGAACACGUAGGGACGUAGAGCAUAGCAGUCAACUUACACCAAAAUAGGGAUACAGAGCAAAAUAUGGGAAGUUUCACGUGCUGCCUCAGAGAAAUGACAUUAACUUUUCUCACGCUGAAAC
This 218-nucleotide long non-coding RNA is filed under the name Nicotiana benthamiana. RNAcentral's name for it is "long non-coding RNA (NBEN_LNC001086)". The record is from RNAcentral. Lineage: Eukaryota; Viridiplantae; Streptophyta; Magnoliopsida; Solanales; Solanaceae.